ACGUCGUGAGACAGUUCGGUCCCUAUCCGUCGUGGGCGCAGGAAAUUUGAGAGGAGCUGUCCUUAGUACGAGAGGACCGGGAUGGACGCACCGCUGGUGUACCAGUUGUCUUGCCAAAGGCAUCGCUGGGUAGCUAUGUGCGGACGGGAUAAGUGCUGAAAGCAUCUAAGCAUGAAGCCCCCCUCAAGAUGAGAUUUCCCAUAGCGUCAAGCUAGUAAGAUCCCUGAAAGAUGAUCAGGUUGAUAGGUCAGAGGUGGAAGCGCGGUGACGUGUGGAGCUGACUGAUACUAAUCGAUCGAGGACUUAACCAA
Molecule: non-coding RNA, 311 nt
Filed under: Mesobacillus campisalis
Lineage: Bacteria; Bacillati; Bacillota; Bacilli; Caryophanales; Bacillaceae
Description: Bacillus campisalis Bacterial large subunit ribosomal RNA
Rfam family: Bacterial large subunit ribosomal RNA
Source: Rfam by way of RNAcentral